Molecule: ribosomal RNA, 705 nt
Filed under: Triticum aestivum (bread wheat)
Lineage: Eukaryota; Viridiplantae; Streptophyta; Magnoliopsida; Poales; Poaceae
Description: partial small subunit ribosomal RNA
Source: RNAcentral
AUGUCCCUCACAUGGUUAUGGGUUAUUGUCCAUUACAUAUUAUAUGCCCAUAUUGCCAUGUUCACUUUGCAUGAUAUGCCCUUUCCUAUGCCUUUGCCAUGCAUUUGUGACCCAUGCUUUGCUCUACACAUGAUGAUUGACUCUCAUACUUUUAUGUGUAUUUGCAAGCUUGGUGGAGAUAUCUCUUGUUGUUGCCAUGUUACUUUCGUGCACCAUUCCUAUGAUGAUACUUUCAUCUUGCUUUGUGUUCGUGCUUGCGAUAUGUCAUGCGCAUUCCCUAUGCCUUUUAUGUGCUCACAUGACAUGAUUGCCAUGAUUUACUCUAGUGUGUUGCAUCUUCGCUCCACUAGUUUGCACGACUUGAUCUCUAUGCUUGCUUAUGUUGCAUCACCAAUGACUCAUACUUGCUCAUUUCAUGCGGUUGAUGACAACCAUCUAUAUGCUUUGCACAUGAUUCAUAUUGCUUCUUGUCAUAUAUCACCAUGUGUUGCCUCUCUCAUGCUAAAUGACUUGCCAUGUAUUGAGUGCAACAAUGCUUAUAGUCUUGCUCAUGAGAUUGCCCCCAUAGCAUUCUCACGUAUGUUUGGAGAUUUUGACAUAUUCCUUGUGAAGCAUGCUUGCCUUACUUCUUUGCACCAUAUACCUUGUGCCAUGCAUGAAUAUCGCCAUUAUUGCAUCAUAUUAUUCAUGCACUUUUGCUUCUAA